CAAUAGCGUAUAUUAAAGUUGUUGCAGUUAAAAAGCUCGUAGUUGGAUUUCUGAUCGAGACAUCAGGUCGGGUCCGAGAGGAUCAUGUACUUUGAUUUUGUUUUGAUCAUCCUUGGGGAGAGCAUUUCUGGCAUUCAGUUGUCGGGAUUGGGAUCCUCAUCGUUUACUGUGAAAAAAUUAGAGUGUUCAAAGCAGGCCUCGGCCUCUGAAUACAUUAGCAUGGAAUAAUAAGAUAGGACUUUGGUGGUCUAUUUUGUUGGUUUGCACGCCAAAGUAAUGAUUAAUAGGGAUAGUUGGGGGUAUUCGUAUUCAAUUGUCAGAGGUGAAAUUCUUGGAUUUAUGGAAGACGAACUACUGCGAAAGCAUUUACCAAGGAUGUUUCCAUUAA
RNAcentral lists this ribosomal RNA (388 nucleotides) under uncultured eukaryote. RNAcentral's name for it is "partial 18S ribosomal RNA". It matches the Rfam family "Eukaryotic small subunit ribosomal RNA", at positions 592 to 976 of the family's 1831-position model. The record is from RNAcentral.